This 253-nucleotide ribosomal RNA is filed under the name uncultured bacterium. RNAcentral describes it as "partial 16S ribosomal RNA". It matches the Rfam family "Bacterial small subunit ribosomal RNA", at positions 524 to 776 of the family's 1533-position model. The record is from RNAcentral.
CACGUAGGGCGCAAGCGUUGUCCGGAAUUAUUGGGCGUAAAGAGCUCGUAGGCGGUCUGUUGCGUCCGCUGUGAAAACUCGGGGCUUAACCCCGAGCCUGCAGUGGAUACGGGCAGACUAGAGGUAGGUAGGGGAGAAUGGAAUUCCCGGUGUAGCGGUGAAAUGCGCAGAUAUCGGGAGGAACACCGGUGGCGAAGGCGGUUCUCUGGGCCGAAAUUGACGCUGAGGAGCGAAAGCGUGGGGAGCAAACAGG